UAUUUGAGCCGCAUGCAGCUCAAGCGGAGGACCCCUACCAUCACGAGGACUGGGUAAGUACAGUGCCACUUUAACCAGACACUUUUACUUUUAUUUGCUUGGAAUACAUUUUACAGCAUAAAUAUUAUUUAAGGAUUGAUACCAGCUGUCAUAGUUCUUGUUUUGUGAGAUUCAAUGUAUCUAAAUCUAAAGAUAACAAUAAAUACUUCUUUGCAACAAUAGAUGGAGGUUUUUAACUUGACUAGUUUACUGUAAAUGUUUGGAAGGAUUUUUAGGGGUGUCAAAACAACCCCACUCUUUAUUUGGUGGAAAAAAAAAUAGUAUCAGCUAUGUACAGUGUAAGAGUGUAAUGUUCACUACUUUAGCCCAGGACUAAAGAAGAUAAGAUAUAAGAGAAACAUUAAUAGGCACAUAAUGUGUAAAUGUUGGUCUUACAGGACUUUUAAACUCUAAGCAUUUUUGUAUGUUGAUGGAUUGUGACACACUGCUUCCUACCAGGGGUGGGUGAUCCAUCAGGGCACUUAUGACUCCACUUAUCAUAAUAAAACUAAAAUAAAUCUAUUGGUUGUGGUGAAAUAGUAAACUACUAACAAUGCGUCCCUGAGGAGAGAUUUAUCUUGUAAAUUUCCUUUCUAAAUGUUAAUUACACAUCACUCAGUACUACAAAACGUUAAAGGGUUACUCCAACCAAAAAACAGUGUUUUAAUGAAACACUGACUCAAGCUAAGAGUAACUCUUACUACUCUGACCCCGCUCCGGUAAAAAAAGAAGAAUAUAGCUCUUACUUGCCAAGUUCUCCCAACAGCGUGAUUCUCCUCCAGGGAUGUCACUCUCCCUGAAUGGAUGUCAUCAUUAUACACUUUAACCCUGUGACUGGUGACAGAUCCUAUUUAAUCUCCUCUCGCAGUUUGUAUCUGUUGACAUCACUAACAUAUUAUACCAUAUUCUUUAAAAGCUGGCAGAAAACGCAUUUUGUUCCUAUGUCUUUAAGGGAGAUUUUUAGAAGUCACUUAUCAGUCUAAGACUUUUAUUUUGCUGAAGUAGUUCCACCUCUUGGUCCUUCUGAUCCAUUUCAUGAUACAAUUUGAGUUUAGAAGCAAUUUAUUUCUGCAGUGCCUGUUUUUCUUCUUCUAGUAGAUGGUUACUGACUUGAAAGAGCUUUAUUUCUGAACUCUGUGACUUGACUUUCCUAUUUAUCACGUUUCCAGAAAGAUAUUGUUUUUCACAGCUUUUACAAUAGAUCUUUCUUUUUAAACUCUGCAGCAUGACUGUUUAUUGUUCUUUAAUACAGACAUAGCUUUCACUGUUCCUAUGAUGGAGAUCUUGCCUAAUUCCAUGCCACGCCACAAUUUGGACAAAGCCAGAGUGCACCAACAUCAUUUCAAAGCACUUAUUUUUCUAACAUAAUUGCAAAUGCUAUGCAUGGAUUUUUCAUUUUUAAUGGCUUUCAUGUAUCUUAUAUUUUUUUGUUUGUUUUAGCUAUUAGAAUAAAAGUAUUAAAACGGCUCAUAUAUUUCAGACAUUGUUGACUACAGAGCUGAUCCUAGGCUUACGGAUGCCUGGGUGCAGACAUUUUGUUUGGCGUCCCCAGUUGGGCAUGGCCAUAUUGCUUACUCCUCCCCUUUACAAAUGUUUGUAUCUUUGAAUGUAAGUAUGUUUUUUGUAUGGAGUAUGUUGAAUGUAGUGUUGCCGUUUGAAUGCAAGUGGGCAUCUGUGUGUAGUGUAGUUUUUUAAUGCAGUGGUGUGUUUAUAUAUAACUUUGGUUUUUAAUACAGAGGUUUUUUUACAGGUGUUUUUUGUAAUGCUGACAUUUGAAUGCAAGGGUAUGUUUGUAUGUAGUGUUGGUGUUUGAAUGCUGAAAUGUAUAACACAUACACUGCCACACACAGAGAUACACACACUGACACACAUACAGAUAUGCAGACACACAGAUAUAUACACUGACACACAGAUAUACCAUAAUUGACACACAUACAGAUACACAUACUAAUAGCAUACACACAGAUAUUGUCACAGCUUACCUGAGAUGGCAGUCCAGUAGGCAGAGAUUUGUGCUCACCCUUGCAGAUAUACACAGUCCAAGGUGAUAAGGUUAGAAACCACCAGGACCGUGAAUCUGUGCACCGGGGCUGUGCUUUCAUGGUCCUCCAAUUCGCAGUACAGACAAGGACACAAGCAGAAGGAUCAUCGAGGAUAAGCCAAAGUCAGAGGAUGCCAGAGGUCAGGAUAAACAAAGAGGAAAGCCAAGGUCAGGUGCUGGGGUCAAUCUGGAGAACAAGUAUCAGGAGACAAAACAGGAACAACACACGAUCACCAGAAUCAAAGAACUGACAAUGUUCUCAUGGUUAGCCAGGUUUAAAUACCUUGCUAAUAAACUUUUUUCCUCACAGGAGCAGCCACAGGUAAAGUCCAGCCCCCUAGUGCUGCAGACAAGGCAGGAUAGGACAACAGGCAGAAACAUGAACUGAAGUGUGGCUCAGAGGUAAGACAGCAAGAGUCCAGAGUUCAAAUCCCCUUUUUGGCACCUGUGGAACGGCCACACCUGGCUGUCUGGAUGUCACGGUGAGAACCGUGACAGGUGUGCACAUUGACACACAGAUAUACACUGACACAAAUACAGAUAGAUAAAUACACACACAUGUGGAUACAGAUACACACACUGACACACAUACAGAUAGACAGAAAAACAGAUACAAAAACUGACACACAUGCAGAUACACAGACACAUAGAAACACACACUGGCACAAAUGCAGAUAUACAGAUACACACACUGACAGCAUACAGAUACAUACUGCCACACAUAGAUAUACACCCAAAUUAUUGUGCAAAUUCUAUUUAAGUCUCACAAAGAUUAUAUAUUUUGUUUUUCAGUUUAACUCAUGGAUGGCAUUGUGUCUCAGGGCUCUUUUGAUCACUGAAAACAAUUUCAGACACCUGUGAUAAUUAGAUUGCCAGGUGAGCCCAAUUUAAGGAAAAACUACUAAAGGAGGUUGUUCCAAAUUAUUAAGCAGAGCACCAUUUUCAUGCAAUAUGGGGAAGAAAAAGGAUCUCUUUGCUGCUGAAAAGAGUGAAAUAGUUCAAUGCCUUGGACGAGGUAUGAAAACAUUAGAUAUUUCACGAAAACUUAAGCAUGAUCAUCGCACUAUUAAGAGCUUUGUGGCUGAUUCAGAGCACAGAUGGGUUAGUGCAGAUAAAGGCACAUUGAUGAAGAUUUCUGACAGAUCCAUGCAUCGAAUCAAGAGAGCAGCUGCUAAAAAACCAUUACAUAGCAGCAAACAGAUAUUUGAAGCUGCUGGUGCCUUUGGAGUCCCAUGG
RNAcentral lists this long non-coding RNA (3316 nucleotides) under Pelobates cultripes (western spadefoot toad). Lineage: Eukaryota; Metazoa; Chordata; Amphibia; Anura; Pelobatidae. The record is from RNAcentral.